Molecule: ribosomal RNA, 492 nt
Filed under: uncultured bacterium
Lineage: Bacteria
Description: partial 16S ribosomal RNA
Rfam family: Bacterial small subunit ribosomal RNA
Source: RNAcentral
AGUGAACGCUGGCGGUAUGCCUAACACAUGCAAGUCGAACGGCAGCACAGUAAGAGCUUGCUCUUACGGGUGGCGCGUGUCGGACGGGUCCGGAAUACAUCGGAAUCUACUUCUUCGUGGGGGCUAACGUAGGGAAACUUACGCUAAUACCGCAUACGACCUACGGGUGAAAGCAGGCGAUCUUCUGACCUUGCGCGAUUGAAUGAGCCGAUCUCGGAUUAGCUCGUUUGCGGGGCAAAGGGCCACCAAGGCGACGAUCCGUAGCUGCUCUGAGAGGAUGAUCAGACAGCUUGGAAGUGAGACACGGUCCAGACUCUUACGGUGGGCAGCAGUGGGGAAUAUUGGGCAAGGGGGGAAAGGCGGAUACAGGAAUAUCGGCUGAGUGAAGAAGGCGUUAGGGUGGGAAAGCCAUUUUGUUGUGAAAGAAAAGAAGCAGGUUAAUACCCCGUUGUUAUGACGGUACCGAAAGAAUAAGCACCGGCUAACUUCGUG